ACUUGGACAAAACGAUGCUUAUUCUGGAUUUUAUUUUUUUUGUUAACUUUCUUUAUGUUAAUCAGCACUUGAGAUGCCAAUGAUUCUGCUUUUAACCAAAACAACAUGUUUGCCUUUUCUUUGAAUCAGAUGUGGAUUUUUGGCACAACUGAUGGGGAUCCUCGUUUUAACGCUUCUGAAGUGGCCAUAGUGCUCCUCCUCUAUGUGUAAGGUUCUAUGGUAAUGGGAGGCACAUUUUGUCUGCUGGACAGGAUCGUGCUUUUCGGCUUUUCUCUGUCAUCCAGGUUUGAUCUCAAACCAUCCUCUUCCUCUCGGAUGAUGUUUGUUCUUUUUCUUGUUUGUUUAUCGAUUUUAUUACUUAAUUCAUAGACUUGAAUAUGCGUUGCCUUCCAUGUAGCGCUACAUUCAAUUUCUUUUAUGUUAAGAAGUCAUAAUUUCUAUUGUGUGCAGGAUUUACAUCACUUCAACCUAAAUUUAGACCAUAUAGAGGAUUUGUUUUUGUUUUUUAAUUCAAGACCAUUUUCAAUUUAUUGUAAUAAAUAUUAUAUUUUUUUAUUGUGCAGUAAUAUAAAUUUUGUUUAAUAUUCAGUUUUAAUUGUAUUACAUCAUUUUUUAUGUUUCAAA
Molecule: long non-coding RNA, 624 nt
Organism: Magnolia sinica
Lineage: Eukaryota; Viridiplantae; Streptophyta; Magnoliopsida; Magnoliales; Magnoliaceae
Exons: 2
Source: RefSeq, a predicted model, not a curated record